RNAcentral lists this long non-coding RNA (567 nucleotides) under Coffea arabica (coffee). RNAcentral's name for it is "long non-coding RNA (CARA_LNC007177)". Lineage: Eukaryota; Viridiplantae; Streptophyta; Magnoliopsida; Gentianales; Rubiaceae. The record is from RNAcentral.
AUCAAUUGACUUCAUUUAGUUCAUUUGAUUCAUUUAAUUCAUUUUUUAGGGUUAUCCAUUCGAUUUUGAAUAAAUAAUCAAAUUUCAUUCAAUGCAUUUGACCAUUUUACCCUUCUUAAGGUAAUCUAGUCAAUUUUUGAAUAAACCAUCAAUUUCAUCCUAUGCAUUUGACCAGAUUUCCCUCUUUUAGGGUUUCGGUCUAAGGUUCACUGAAUGACCUAGUCUAAACAUUGCAAUCUCUUUUACACGUCAUUUUUUGUGUCAAUCAAGGCAAGCAAUCCAUUCGGACUUUGUCCUAAUUUUUAGGGCAAAUGUGUCUUUUCACUCCAAUUGGAGGCCAAAUUUUUCAAAUCAUUUUUUUUUCACCCAGUCAACUGAUCGGAUUCAUCAGGUAUUGUAUGGUGCCUACUCUAGAGGAUUGCAUUUUCAUGCUAGGCCUACCUUUGGCACAAAAAGGGUUCCCCCAUAGGACAUGCAUACCGAUUUUGCAGUCUUGUUUACUAACUCGGGUUAUUUUUCUUUUGUUUUUCCCCUCCCCUGCAUUCAUAAAAAAAUGUUUCAAUAAGG